CGGCGGACGGGUGAGUAACACGUGGAUAACCUACCUAUAAGACUGGGAUAACUUCGGGAAACCGGAGCUAAUACCGGAUAAUAUAUUGAACCGCAUGGUUCAAUGGUGAAAGACGGUUUUGCUGUCACUUAUAGAUGGAUCCGCGCCGCAUUAGCUAGUUGGUAAGGUAACGGCUUACCAAGGCAACGAUGCGUAGCCGACCUGAGAGGGUGAUCGGCCACACUGGAACUGAGACACGGUCCAGACUCCUACGGGAGGCAGCAGGU
RNAcentral lists this ribosomal RNA (266 nucleotides) under uncultured Staphylococcus sp. RNAcentral's name for it is "partial 16S ribosomal RNA". It matches the Rfam family "Bacterial small subunit ribosomal RNA", at positions 96 to 354 of the family's 1533-position model. The record is from RNAcentral. Lineage: Bacteria; Bacillati; Bacillota; Bacilli; Caryophanales; Staphylococcaceae.